RNAcentral lists this ribosomal RNA (253 nucleotides) under uncultured bacterium. RNAcentral's name for it is "partial 16S ribosomal RNA". It matches the Rfam family "Bacterial small subunit ribosomal RNA", at positions 524 to 776 of the family's 1533-position model. The record is from RNAcentral.
GACGGAGGGUGCAAGCGUUGUUCGGAAUUACUGGGCGUAAAGGGCGCGUAGGCGGUCUGUUAAGUUCGGUGUGAAAGCCCUCGGCUUACCCGGGGAACUGCGCCGGAAACCGACAGACUCGAGUACCGGAGAGGAGGGUGGAAUUCCUGGUGUAGCGGUGAAAUGCGUAGAUAUCAGGAGGAACACCGGUGGCGAAGGCGGCCCUCUGGACGGAUACUGACGCUGAGGCGCGAAAGCCAGGGGAGCAAACGGG